This 2402-nucleotide unclassified non-coding RNA is filed under the name Leishmania donovani. RNAcentral's name for it is "gene:LdHU3.19.0160(CDS-product:metallo-peptidase_ Clan_MG_Family_M24)". The record is from RNAcentral. Lineage: Eukaryota; Euglenozoa; Kinetoplastea; Trypanosomatida; Trypanosomatidae.
UGAACUUGCGUGCUUCCUUCUGCACUCCCUUUUGGUUUCCUCUUCUUUGAGCUCAUCACCGCCGUUUGACUGCCGCGGGCAUUGGCGCUACCGCUUUCCUCACUCUUCCUCCCCUCAGCAUUUUUUUCGUACACACGCGCGCGCACGAGAAAGAGGCGCGCGCCGACAGAGCAGCCUUUCUGGACUCUCCGAUAACUAAACGCAACCCCCCCUCCCCCCAAUGCCAAAGAACACCGACCAGGAGGAGUGGGAGGAUUACGGCGACGAGGAGGUGCAGGAUGAGGAGGAGGAGGACACCACCAUCAACAACUCCGACGUGGUGGUGCGCUACAAGAAGGCCGCCACGUGGUGCAAUGAAACGUUGCGCGUGCUUAUCGAUGCCACAAAACCUGGCGCCAAGGUGUGCGACUUGUGCCGCCUCGGUGAUGACACCAUCACCGCCAAGGUCAAGACGAUGUUCAAAGGCACGGAAAAAGGCAUCGCCUUCCCCACCUGCAUCUCGGUCAACAACUGCGUAUGCCACAACAGCCCUGGAGUGUCAGACGAGGCGACGCAGCAAGAGAUUGCGAUGGGUGACGUCGUGCACUACGACCUGGGCAUCCACGUGGACGGCUACUGCGCCGUCGUCGCGCACACCAUUCAGGUGACAGAGGACAACGAGCUCGGCAAGGACGAGAAGGCGGCGCGGGUCAUUACAGCGACGUACAACAUCCUGAACACGGCGCUGCGCCAGAUGCGUCCCGGUGCGACCAUCUACCAGGUGACAGACGUAGUUGAGAAGGCUGCGGAGCACUACAAGGUGACUCCGGUGGACGGCGUCCUUUCGCACAUGAUGAAGCGCUACAUCAUAGACGGAUACCGUUGUAUCCCGCAGCGCAGGGUCGCGGAGCACAUGGUGCACGACUACGAUCUCGAGAAGGCGCAGGUUUGGACGCUAGACAUUGUUAUGACCUCCGGCAAGGGCAAGCUUAAGGAGCGCGAUGCGCGGCCGUGCGUGUUCAAGGUGGCUCUGGACUCCAACUACUCUGUGAAGAUGGAAAGCGCGAAGGAGGUUCAGAAGGAAAUCGACUCCAAGUAUGCUACCUUCCCGUUUGCCAUCCGCAACCUGGAGGCCAAGAAGGCCCGCCUCGGUCUCAACGAGAUGGCGAAGCACGGCGCUGUCAUCCCGUACCCUAUUCUCUUCGAAAAAGAAGGCGAGGUCGUCGCCCAUUUCAAGAUUACGGUGCUCAUCAGCAACAAGAAGAUUGAGCCGAUCACCGGCCUGAAGCCGCAGAAGGCCCCGGCGCUCGAACCGUACACGGACGAGAUGCUGCUUGCGACGAACAAGCUCUCGCUGUCGCUAGAGAAGAAGGCGGCAAAGUAGACGGCCGUGGCAUCCGUGACGCUGUACUGCGAGCUUUCGUAGGCGCACGUCUCUUGUGAGGCGUACACUUGUGCUGUUUGCAGACGAGGCACCCACUCUGUUCCCCUCCUUCCUGCUCCCUUUCUUCGCUAAUCUCCGCGUUUUCUCUGACGAUGACGUCUCUGCCGGAGUGUGGUGAGGCGCGUGAGGGAGAAACUGCCCACGCGCCUGCCUGUGCAUACGCGAGCACGGUAGGGAGCGCGGUGGGGGGGCGUGUCACGAGUACGAAGCAGGCUCGAUCUCUGCGACUCUUUUCUUUCUGUAAACAGGAACGUAAGCAACCAACACGCAAAAUAAAAAUGAAGUGCGUAUUCAUCGUUGGCCGGGUACGCGCGCGCGCGUCUCCUCCGUCUCUCAUUGAAAGGGGCGGAGGGAGGAUGGCGGGGGGAGGGGCGCAGAGAGCGAUCGUGCCUGUGCGUGUUGAGUGGGUGGGGACUAUGCAGAGCGCAUUGGAACGGCGGAGAACGGAGGGGGAAGGGCUCGGCAAUUGUGUGUCGCCAGCGCUUUCUCCCUCUUUCCCUCCCUCGUGUACCCCCCUCUCUCUCUGCCUUUCUCCUCUGCUUCUUUUGCUGUCUCCCCUUUCACUCAUCACGUGUGUCUCUGUAUGACGCCUGCGUGUACCUGUCUGCGUACGUACAUACGUGUGUUGGUGUGUGUGUGUGUUAAGAGUGCAAUGCGGACGAGUCUUCCUAAGAAGGCAUGAAGUGCACGAGCAAGAAGCCAAUCAAACCCCAGACAAAAAAAUAUGAUCACAAGCAGCGCACAACGAACUACCUACACGGCUAUACGGCAUGGAGAGUGCUAAAAAUGUGUGUUGGUAUGCGCGGCUUCUGCCCAUUGUGUGCGUGGGUGUGCGUGCGCGUGUUGCUCGUGAGGCGAUACCCGACGGCGCAACCACAGGGUGCAAAAGGGAGCCAAAAAAAAAGGAGGUGGCCUGUGACCAUCUUACCGCCAUCUUCACGGUCAUUCACAAGGACUCCUUUGCUUCGCUACAUUUUAC